Molecule: long non-coding RNA, 1999 nt
Organism: Populus nigra (black poplar)
Lineage: Eukaryota; Viridiplantae; Streptophyta; Magnoliopsida; Malpighiales; Salicaceae
Exons: 5
Source: RefSeq, a predicted model, not a curated record
AUAAUUAUAAUGCUUUAACUUCAGCUUUUUCUAGAUAUUAUCAUGGGGUUUUGAGCUUGAAGUUUUUUGCGCAGAUGGGCACUCAAGAUUCGAGGCCUGAUGGAAGGAAGAACAUACCUACACCGGGAUGAUCUUGCAAGGUUCCUUUCAGCAUAUAGCAAGCAAGGUAAGAAAGUGUACUUAACUGCUGCUCCUCGGUGCCCGUAUCCUGAUGCUUGGAGGGAAAUGAAUUAAAGACAAGUCUUUCGUUCUCAUUAAACUGGUCGGUCAGGAUUUUCACCCUCUUUUCUCCAACUCGUCUUUCCCUGCUCUAAAAAUGGAGAUUCGUCCGCUCAAUGUUCGCUCCGGAAGCUAGGAAGGGAAGGAGGAGGGGGUUUGAAAAGGGGCUGGCUGGAAAUUGAAUGAGGAAAGGAAGAAGACCGCUGUUAGGUUUGGUCAUCAGUUCUGAUCAGCAGUUUCUCCAUGGUUUUCGUUCAUCAGAUGGCUUUCUAAAUCAGGGAGAGAUGCAGGGUGAUCGAUUGCAUAGGGCUGCUAUCUUGGUUAGGAAGAGGAAGUGUGGUUUCUUGGGUUAUUCAAGGAUGUGCAAUUCUAUACUUCUGCUGCUUCAAAUGGUUAUGGCGCGUUGGAGAGGAUUUGUUUGGCCUCGGGCAUCCUAAGGGCUGAUCGUCUAGAUUACAAUCCCGGUGGUACUGCUGCAGUUCACCAGGUCAGGCCAUGCUCGAUUGAUUGGCCAUCCAAUCAUGAGUAUAGCUGUCCUUUUCAGCACAGUGGUAAGAUAAUGCAUCAUCUCUGUGGAGAAUUGUAGGAGAAGUAACCUGUUGUGCUACCAACGUGGCUGGAUAUGGAACCAUCUGGCAGUUCCAUCAGUGGAAUAAUGUGCCCAGAGUAGACUCUUUUUAAGGCAUCAAUAACUACACACUUUAAGUUGAGUGCCAAAAAUUUUACAGUUCCCAUGUUUGAGUUUGAAACUAUGGGGUGCAAAAUUUCCCUUGGAGGUUGGACCGCUCCUGCGUAUAUGAUGUUUACACCCUCAUCUUGGUCAGUUGAUAGAAUCUGAUUUGGAGGUCGGAUUUUGGGAUCUAACUUCAGUUCUAUUUCCGUCUAUUGCCGUGAAGAUGGAGCACCAUCUGUUGCAAUUAUGUUACUAGUCAAUGGCUUGAAUUGAAAUCUGGACUCGACAAAGUUAACAUCAUGCACUUAUCACACUGUUGCAGUUCCAAUUAUGGACUGGAAUCACAUUGCCAAACCGAAGUUCCGUUUAAAGAGUUGUGCCUCUUCCCUGUAACGCUUUUGCUGAGUUAUGAUGGGGCAGGAUUUUGACCCAAGGCCGAGAAGUAGAGCAGAAUGGGCCAGGCCUGUUAGACCAGCAAUCCUUCCGGGUGGUUACGCUCGUUCGUUCCUGACUAACCUUUGUAUGCCAAACUGGUGCAAUUAGGUGGUGCGUAAUCCUUUAUUAUCAAGUACCAAUAAGACAAUCUCCGCCACAGUAAUUCCAAUAGAGUUAAACAACGGACAUGACACCUUGUCAAGGUUAGCUUUAACCUUGCAGAGCCACCACUGGAUGUUUGGAUAAAGCUCCUACAAAUACCAAGUAUUGAUCAGUCAAACUGGACGCUGAUGGGUACGGUCCAAACCGACCUGGACGAGGAGGAUUGAAGGGCUCUCGUUAAGUAAUACCCAUUGACCUGGGACUUCUGUACGGAUAGGGAGGAGGGUUGUUUACCUUGCAAGCAAGGGAAUGUUGUAUUGUUUGGUGGAUGACCAAGGCUUGCAACGACCUCACAUUUCAAGUGCAUGUCUCCAAGUGAGAGCCAGCACGUACUGAGAGCAAUUCGUGAGAGGGUUUAUGACAUGCAUGUGGGUGUGAGAUCCCUGGAUACUGAGGAUGCCUUGGCAGUUUUUUUUUUUUUUACUUCAAAAUAAUAUUUUUUAGUAUUUUUUAAUUAUUUUAAUGUGCUGAUGUUAAAAAUAAUUUUUAAAAAAUAAAAAAUAUAUUAUU